AAAUAUAGAAUCACCCUAUGAUUCAGCAAUUCCGCUUCUGGGUAUGUGCCCAAAAGAGCUGAAAGCAAGGACUUGAACAGAUGAGGAAAUGGAGGUGUGAAGAGGUGACUCUGGCAGAAAUCUAGGUCACAAUGGUCGCCACAGUUGUACUUAAAAUGAACUCUUCAAAACAUCAACAAAGUCCCUUUAUUUUGAAUGCAUCAUCACAGCUCAUUAUAUUCAGUGGCCUCCAAGCUUUUCUGUCCUGAGGCUUUUUUGAGUAUGACGUCCAUGGCAGGUACAAUCGAAAGGCAGGCAAAGAGCCCCUGGACAGAGAUGAACAGGAUGAAACAGAGUGUUCACUUUGCUU
Hyaena hyaena (striped hyena) is the source of this 349-nucleotide long non-coding RNA. RefSeq lists it as uncharacterized. NCBI's taxonomy places the organism in Eukaryota, Metazoa, Chordata, Mammalia, Carnivora, Hyaenidae. The record is from RefSeq and is a predicted model, not a curated record. The transcript has 3 exons.